GCGGACGUCGAAAUGACGGUCAUUUCGGCCUGAAAAGCGGAAGGUCGGCGGUUCGACCCCGCCCCUGCCCACCA
Molecule: transfer RNA, 74 nt
Filed under: Frankia casuarinae
Lineage: Bacteria; Bacillati; Actinomycetota; Actinomycetes; Frankiales; Frankiaceae
Also listed under: 2 other names
Description: tRNA-Phe-GAA-2-1
Source: RNAcentral